UCUAAUUAGGUUGCAUUCCUGUCAGCCAUUGCAUUGUACUGUGCUUCGAGAUGGUAUCAGUAUCAACUAUAGUGUUGAUUUGUGUGUGUUUCGGGAUCUGUGCAGAUGGAUUUUCGUCACGGCGACUAAUUCCAGACACGGAGGAAUGUCGGUCUGUGGCUGGGACGUGCAUUGACACCACCAUUGUUCAGUGUACGGGACUCACUACUCCAACCUGUGGGCCCCUGCCGGAGGCAGUCUGUUGUGUUCACUUUGUUCUUGGAAACUGAGUCGUAAAGACGUCCCCAGCACAUUUCCGGUUUAAGUUUUGAAAAUUGGAAUAUAAUUACAUUGUAUAUUAAAUUAACAAUGCAACUCA
This is a long non-coding RNA of Haliotis rufescens (red abalone), 358 nucleotides long. RefSeq lists it as uncharacterized. The transcript has 3 exons. NCBI's taxonomy places the organism in Eukaryota, Metazoa, Mollusca, Gastropoda, Lepetellida, Haliotidae. The record is from RefSeq and is a predicted model, not a curated record.